AUGGAACAGAGGGCUCAAGAGCGACUUAGUGUAGCGGGCUAAAAAAAGAUGUACUUGGCUGAUCGAUACAGCUUCACACAGUGGUUUCCAAGGGAUGCUGGUUUUGGUUAGGUAUGUUAAAUAAAAAUCGCACCUUUUAUCGAUGACAUGUUGCACUUCCACACACUCCAGUGAGACAACUCCCUGUGUGUAGUACCGUAUAUUUUCUUGGUUCCAGGUGGGAGAAAGGAGUGUUUCGUUUUAAUUGCAUACUGCACUGAGACAUGCAGACACAUAUACACCCUGCCUCCUGAGAUCAGGCAAACGCCUUCACUGUACUCUCUUGGUUAAAAGCAUUUAGACAAUCCUACCCAGACAUGUAUAAUGUUGAUGUAUGUUUCAAUCUGCUUGUAGUUUAUUGCUGAUCUUAUUGAGGGUUUGAAAUGUUUUAAAUAGCUGUUUUUACUGAUAAUUUUAUUGUUUUAUUCUCUUUGUAAACCACUUUUACCAUCAAGUAGCGCAUAGAUUUUAUGAAAUAAAUAUACUAUCCACUCCAAGAAUAAUAUGGAGGAUUUUGCUUAAUUGCACAGAUUUCUCAACCUCCAGUAUCAGGUCUCCAUUUCAGCCCAUUACACAGCUAUGUGCAAGCACAAGACUCCUCAUCGGGCCUUAGAGCUGGAAAUUAACAGAACCAAUGUGAAAUGGCAAGUGUCUAGCCAUCACAGUUGAGAAGAUGAAAACAGGUAAGUUCACAGCUUGAGUCAUAACAUAAUUCAGGAUGUUGCCAGUUGACACACACCCUCCUGUUCCAAUGUUUGGUGUUACCAUAAUGGGAAGAAGGUAGCUUGGGAUCUACUGAUUGAUCUCUAGGCGACUCAAAAAUAGAUUGGUGAGGAUUUUGAGUCCCAGUUCUGGCUUUUCACUCCAGCUGCCAGCGGUGGUCCUUCUGCCCUCCAGCUGUCACCAUGGGGGCUUCUACAGAAUCAUCUUGCCAAGAGAGAAGCAAGCUGUGUACACAUUAAUGCUUGAAAUGCAGCUAGGUCUUUCUUUUUCUCAGAUCAAAGAAGUAUUUCCUAAGGAACAACAUGGAUGGUGGCUAACAUUGUGUGUAUCCCGCUUCAAUGUUGGGAGCCUACUGGAUGCAGAGUAAAUGGGAUUAUGUACACAAUUACAAUUGUAUUUUCUAUGCUGUUAUAACUCUCUCCCCCAUCCCAUCCCACAAUGCCUAUUGUUGCAGUAAUCUUACGCAAACUGCUUUAUGAGGCUUGCAUGAAAAGCAAUAUAUAGAAACUAUAAAUAAAAG
Molecule: non-coding RNA, 1282 nt
Organism: Podarcis lilfordi (Lilford's wall lizard)
Lineage: Eukaryota; Metazoa; Chordata; Lepidosauria; Squamata; Lacertidae
Source: the annotation of a GenBank genome assembly